CAGCCGCCGCGGUAAUACAGAGGGUGCAAGCGUUAAUCGGAAUUACUGGGCGUAAAGCGCGCGUAGGUGGUUCGUUAAGUUGGAUGUGAAAUCCCCGGGCUCAACCUGGGAACUGCAUUCAAAACUGACGAGCUAGAGUAUGGUAGAGGGUGGUGGAAUUUCCUGUGUAGCGGUGAAAUGCGUAGAUAUAGGAAGGAACACCAGUGGCGAAGGCGGCUCACUGGACCGACACUGACGCUGAGGCGCGAAAGCGUGGGGAGCAAACAGGAUUAGAUACCCCCGUAGUCCCUGUCUCUUAUAA
Molecule: ribosomal RNA, 301 nt
Filed under: uncultured bacterium
Lineage: Bacteria
Description: partial 16S ribosomal RNA
Rfam family: Bacterial small subunit ribosomal RNA
Source: RNAcentral